This 2822-nucleotide ribosomal RNA is filed under the name Thermoflexales bacterium. RNAcentral's name for it is "23S ribosomal RNA". It matches the Rfam family "Bacterial large subunit ribosomal RNA". Lineage: Bacteria; Bacillati; Chloroflexota; Thermoflexia; Thermoflexales. The record is from RNAcentral.
CUACAAGGGCGUACGGGGGAUGCCUUGGCAUCUCGUGCCGAAGAAGGACGCGGUACACUGCGAAAAGUUCUGGUGAGGAGUGUGCAUCCGCAUGAGCCAGAGAUAUCCGAAUGGGGAAACCCACGUGGGGGCAUGCCCACGGACGAUGGCGUAAAUUCAUAGCGUCAUUGGGGGAACCGGGUGAACUGAAACAUCUAAGUAACCCGAGGAAAAGAGAAGAUUCCGCGAGUAGUGGCGAGCGAAAGUGGAGAAGCCCGCAGCACCAAAAGCCUAGUCGAAGGUUCUGGAAAGGACCGCGAGAAAGCGUGAAAGCCGCGUAGACGAAAGGCGAAUAAGCUGCAGAGAGUAACCCGGGACACGCUAACCCCGGGUGAAGAUGGGGGGUCCACCCUCCAAGGCUAAAUACACGAGAUGACCGAUAGGGCACAAGUACCGUGAGGGAAAGGUGAAAAGAACCCCGGCGAGGGGAGUGAAAUAGAAUCUGAAACCGUAUGCCUACAAACAGUCAAAGGGGCGGAAACGUCCUGAUGGCGUGCCUUUUGGAGAAUGAGCCAGCGAGUUAAUAGGUGUGGCAAGGUUAAGGCAGUCACAGCCGGAGCCAGAGCGAAAGCGAGUCUGAAUAGGGCGUUGGUCGCACUUAUUACACACGAAACCAGGUGAGCUACCCAUGUCCAGGUUGAAGCGAAGUUAACCCUUCGUGGAGGACCGAACCGUUCCGCGUUGAAAAGCGGCUGGAUGAGGUGUGGGUAGGGGUGAUAUGCCAAACGAACUUGGAGAUAGCUUGUUCUCCCCGAAAUCGCUUUAGGGCGAGCGUUGCGUGUUUAGCUGUGGAGGUAGAGCACUAGUUGGGCUAGGGGUCUUACGAUUACCAAACCUAUUUAAACUCCGAAUACCACAGCUCCAAGCGCAGCAGUUGGACAGUGGAUGAUGAGAUUCAUUGUCGAGAGGGAAACAACCCAGACCCUCGGCUAAGGUUCCUCAGACUUGGUUAAGUGGAAAACGAGGUGGGCGUGUUGAGACAGCCAGGAGGUUGGCUUAGAAGCAGCCACCCUUUAAAGAGUGCGUAAUAGCUCACUGGUCAAACGCGCCUGCGCGGAUAACGUAACGGAGCUAAACCAAGCACCGAAGCUAGGGAUUAAUGGUAGGGGAGCGUCGUGGUCUGGACGAAGGUCAAGGCGGUAAGCCGAACUGGAUGGACCACGAGUGAGGAUGCUGGCAUGAGUAGCGAGAAACAUGUGAGAACCAUGUUCGCCGUAAGUCUAAGGUUUCCGACGCAAGGUCAGUCCGCGUCGGGUGAGUCGAGCCUUAGUCGAGGCCGCAAGGCGUAGAUGAUGGACAACAGGUGAAGAUUCCUGUACCGCCUGAAUGGAGCGAAGCGGGGACGCAGAGAGGGAACACAGCCCCGUGCUGGACAUCGGGGUGCUAAGCGUGGUAGGCGAUGAGGGGGGUAGGCAAAUCCGCCCCCGGAGCUGAAGGCGCGACGGCGGGUCUUUAUGACCAGAAGUGUGUGGGCCUGACUGCCAAGAAAAGCCGCUAAGUGAUGAAGUUCGGGCGCUCGUACCGCAAACCGACACAGGUAGACGAGUAGAAGAUACCAAGGCGAACGAGGGAACCUUCGUUAAGGAACUAGGCAAACUAACCCCGUAAGUUCGCGAGAAGGGGUGCCGGCGCGAGCCGGUCGCAGUGAAAGGGCUCUGCUGACUGUUUAACAAAACCACAGGUCUCUGCCAAAGCGAAAGCUGAAGUAUAGGGGCUGAAGCCUGCCCAGUGCUGGAAGGUUAAGAGGAGGGGUUAGCCGCAAGGCGAGGCUCCGAAUUGAAGCCCCAGUGAACGGCGGCCGUAACUAUAACGGUCCUAAGGUAGCGAAAUUCCUUGUCGGGUAAGUUCCGACCCGCACGAAUGGCCUAACGAGUAGAGCACUGUCUCAACGAAGGACUCGGCGAAAUUGAAAUACGUGUGAAGAUGCGCGUUACCCGCAGUAGGACAAAAAGACCCCGUGGAGCUUUACUGCAGCUUGCCAUUGCGUUAGGACGCAGUCUGUGUAGGAUAGCUGGGAGGCUUGGAACCUGGAGCGCUAGCUUCGGGGGAGCCGACGGUGAAAUACCAGCCUGAGUGCGUUUUGACCCUAACCCGUGCCCUAAACUGGCAGGGAGACAGUGGCAGGUGGGCAGUUUGACUGGGGCGGUCGCCUCCUAAAGAGUACCGGAGGCGCCCAAAGGUUCCCUCAGGUGGAAUGGAAACCCACCUUCGAGUGUACAGGCAUAAGGGAGCUUGACUGCAAGACAAACACGUCGAGCAGAGACGAAAGUCGGGCUGAGUGAUCCCACGAUACCGUGUGGAAGGGUCGUGGCUUAACGGACAAAAGCUACCCCGGGGAUAACAGGCUGGUGAAGUCCAAGAGUUCACAUCGACGACUUCGCUCGGCACCUCGAUGUCGGCUCAUCGCAUCCUGGGGCUGGAUAAGGUCCCAAGGGUUGGGCUGUUCGCCCAUUAAAGCGGUACGUGAGCUGGGUUCAGACCGUCGUGAGACAGGUCGGUCUCUAUCCACUGUGGGCGUAGGGGGAUUGAGGGGAGCUGGCCCUAGUACGAGAGGACCGGGCUGGACGGAGCGCUGGUGUGCGAGUUGUCGUGCCAACGGCAUUGCUCGGUAGCUAACUCCGGAUGAGAUAACCGCUGAAAGCAUCUAAGUGGGAAGCUCGCCCUAAGAUGAGUCCCCCCACUGACUAGAUCAGGUAAGACCGCUGGGAGACUACCAGUUACAUAGGCGGGAGGUGUAAGCACAGCAAUGUGUGUAGCUAACCCGUACUAAUGGUCGAGGGCUU